This 29-nucleotide non-coding RNA is filed under the name Mus musculus (house mouse). Lineage: Eukaryota; Metazoa; Chordata; Mammalia; Rodentia; Muridae. The record is from RNAcentral.
UGGUCAUGAUGUUUGUACAGGAAUAGAAA